ACAUGGCAGGUUGGAAAGGGUCCACUUGGUCCAUUCUCUUCCUUGUUAGAGGGGUCACAGGCUAUGCUUGAGUCUUAUCUUAGAAUGAUAGCCAGCGGCGAGAUUGAUCCCUGUUAUCCGGUAGAAACCUAUAUAGUUCAUCGAUUUCGCCAGGAUAUUGUUGGCUCUCUCUCGGAAAACAUCCUACCAGACAACCAAUUUUUUCUCAAGCACCCGGACGACAAAGGUGACCACAUUCUGGUUAAUGACCGUUUUGAUAUCGUGGGAGUCAUAGACUGGGAAUGGACUCGAACGGUCUCCAGUGCCGAGGCGUUUUGUUCGCCAUGCAUGAUGUGGCCGGUGAACGAGUUCUACGACGGCUCUAAUCAACUAGCUGCCAUCUUUCAGGAAAGGGGCCGUGCAGAUCUUGCCAACUAUGUUCUCAAGGGUAGAAAGGUUCAGAGAUUUUUCUUUGCUCUUGGGCCUGAGAGUUCUUUUAUAGACAUGCAGACGCUUCCACGUCUUUUCGCGGGACUUCAAGAAGCUUUUAACGUCAAAAGCGAG
RNAcentral lists this small RNA (543 nucleotides) under Histoplasma ohiense. RNAcentral's name for it is "hypothetical lncRNA". Lineage: Eukaryota; Fungi; Ascomycota; Eurotiomycetes; Onygenales; Ajellomycetaceae. The record is from RNAcentral.